Molecule: long non-coding RNA, 1880 nt
Organism: Oryzias melastigma (Indian medaka)
Lineage: Eukaryota; Metazoa; Chordata; Actinopteri; Beloniformes; Adrianichthyidae
Exons: 3
Source: RefSeq, a predicted model, not a curated record
AAAACUUUUUGUUUAUGUUGUUUUCUUCUAAAUACAAGAACAGGCAUAGAAUUGUCGUAUUUUGGUUGUCAUACAUUGUGACCCAUCAGCUAUGGGAUGGGGGCCUGCAGGUGUUGGGGGGAUGGAAGGCUUUGUAGGCGACUAGAUUGGGGGAGGGCCAUUUUUUUCAAUCAUAUUAUUCAGUCUAACCUUUUCCCCUCUAACCUUACUCCCUUUUCUGCACUAACACUUGUCUUUGUCUUCACUCAUGACAACACCCCACUGUUUCCGCCUGUGUGACACGGCUGUCGGUUCUCCUAACCUCUGCACUGGCCCUCCUGUCGGCCAGAUGCCUGAUCCUCUCCCGUCUCUGGAGCGUGCAGGCAGGUCUGCACAGGUUGGGUCUGGUGUUGUUUUGUCUCCCUGAGGUUUCACACAUUCCAGAUGUUAUCAGCAGGCUCCAGUUAGCUUAGAUGAUAGCUAUCUAGACAGGUCAGUCAAUCACUUGACAAGGAAGGAUGCUGCCCUAUGAGUCAGGCCUCAUGCCCACAGAUGAUAAAAGGCCUGGGCCUGGUGUGGCCUCGUCAUACGGUUAUCUCCCAUGCUCUCAUGUCAGAUAUAUUAUCUGUACGGCUCGAAGACUCACCACUCACACCGCCCUUCAAAUCGAUUCAUCAAGUUAAUUGUUGAGUGUUUAAAUCUUUGCUUCAUUUGCCUAAUUAUUUCAUUUGUUUUUCUUUUUUUCCUUCUCUUAUAAUCUACAAAGCUAUGAAUAAUUAUUAAAUGAAAAAUUAAGGAAUCAGAAAAAUGUUCUGGGUGGCAGAUUGGAAUUUUAUUAGGACUGGCAUAAUGAAUCUUUUUCAAGUCUCUGAUGAGCCUUGAUUUGUAUAAAUGAAUAAGAUAUUGUUCGGUUUUCAGUUUGAAGAGUGUUAAAUUUAUGCUUCAUAAAAUUCACAGCAUGAAACCGAAAUUAGUCAUGGUUAACAUUUCCCCCUUAUUUAACGCUGCCAUUUCCAUUUCCCAGGCCUGUCUUUGCAGCCAUCCUUUAAUCGAGUAACUAGUGGACAGCUCUCUGUUCGCUGCCUGUUUAUUUUUGUGUCUGAACGUGCCUGAGUGUAUCCACCUCUAAUCCAGCCAUGGGUAGCCUCUGUCCCCCGCAGGCUCGGUGUCAGCAGUUUGACUUUGAUGUCAAGCCACAAUUUAUUUGACGGUCUCUGUGGACUCCUGCGUUGUCCACAUAAUGUCUGGCAAUCAAUAAUAAUGUGACCUACCUAGCUAGACCCUUCCUACCCACUGCUUUAGUUAUUCACCCCCUGGCUUGCAAUAUUCCAGUCUCUGGCCUGCCCCUGCCCCCUGAAUAAAAAAAAGUUAAAAAAAAGUCUCAGUGAAUCCCAGUUUUACCAAUAAUGCCUGUCUAGCUAUGACAGUGACCUCUAUGUCUGUUACUAUGGUUACUUAUAGCCCGCCUAGAGCAAAAGUAAAUCAUUGUUUUUUUUUAAAUCAUGUUAUUUUUCUUACAAAUAUAAAUCAAGAUGAGACAGAGAUUAAAAAAGUGCGUGUAAAGGAGAGCAUCUACACUUUUUCCUGAAAACGUGACAUCCACUGAUUGGGCCCUCUCCAUCGAUCAUGACGCACAGGCACACACUCACCCUUCUUCUUCCCUCCCUCUCUCACCAAAUUGAGUUCCUUCCAAAAAUGAAAGGCAGGCAGGAGCUGACACACUCUGGCUGCCGAACACUGGCACCAACCCAUAACCACCAGAGGCAAUGUGGAGUACAGUGUCUUCUAUACAUACAUAGGCAGGCAAGGUGGGAAUCGAACCGGCGAUCUUCUGGUCAGAGGUCAAGCCCCCUACCUCUGCACUAUGGCUGUCCCAUAUUUCUUUAUUAAAUUCAUUUGAA